GAUGAACGCUGGCGGCGUGCCUAAUACAUGCAAGUAGAACGCUGAAGGAAGGAGCUUGCUCUUUCCGGAUGAGUUGCGAACGGGUGAGUAACGCGUAGGUAACCUGCCUGGUAGCGGGGGAUAACUAUUGGAAACGAUAGCUAAUACCGCAUAACAGUAGAUGUUGCAUGACAACUAUUUGAAAGGGGCAAUUGCUCCACUACCAGAUGGACCUGCGUUGUAUUAGCUAGUUGGUGAGGUAACGGCUCACCAAGGCGACGAUACAUAGCCGACCUGAGAGGGUGAUCGGCCACACUGGGACUGAGACACGGCCCAGACUCCUACGGGAGGCAGCAGGAGGGAAUCUUCGGCAAUGGACGGAAGUCUGACCGAGCAACGCCGCGUGAGUGAAGAAGGUUUUCGGAUCGUAAAGCUCUGUUGUAAGAGAAGAACGAGUGUGAGAGUGGAAAGUUCACACUGUGACGGUAUCUGACCAGAAAGGGACGGCUAACUACGUG
RNAcentral lists this ribosomal RNA (497 nucleotides) under uncultured bacterium. RNAcentral's name for it is "partial 16S ribosomal RNA". It matches the Rfam family "Bacterial small subunit ribosomal RNA", at positions 28 to 507 of the family's 1533-position model. The record is from RNAcentral.